This 305-nucleotide unclassified non-coding RNA is filed under the name plant metagenome. RNAcentral's name for it is "partial contains 5.8S ribosomal RNA, internal transcribed spacer 2, and large subunit ribosomal RNA". The stretch from base 1 to 104 matches the Rfam family "5.8S ribosomal RNA", at positions 51 to 154 of the family's 154-position model. The record is from RNAcentral.
AAAUGCGAUAAGUAAUGUGAAUUGCAGAAUUCAGUGAAUCAUCGAAUCUUUGAACGCACAUUGCGCCCGCCAGUAUUCUGGCGGGCAUGCCUGUCCGAGCGUCAUUUCAACCAUCAAGCCCCCGGGCUUGUGUUGGGGACCUGCGGCUGCCCGCAGGCCCUGAAAACCAGUGGCGGGCUCGCUGUCACACCGAGCGUAGUAGCAAUCACCUCGCUCAGGGCGUGCUGCGGGUUCCGGCCGUUAAACAGCCUUACAAAACCCAAGGUUGACCUCGGAUCAGGUAGGAAUACCCGCUGAACUUAAGC